CUGAAGAAAGACGGAACAAACGCUCUCGUUCUGGCGGUGAUGUCUCUUCUCCAACCGUUGUCAUCCCAAAUCAACCUGUUCCACUUCUUCUCAAUAAUUCAACCACUCGCACUUUACAACCCAAUCCAAACUCUUCUCAUGAUAUGAUUAUCUGUAAGCAACAUGUGAUUUCUACUGGCAACCUGAUUGAUCCAAUGGAAGGUGUGGAAAUGGAGGAAAUUGAUGAGUACAAUACUGUUGAUGAAGGAAUUACGUUGAUUAAUAACGUGAAAGCUAAUAACGAGGGGAGUUCAAAGGAUGCAAAACAGUUGCAGGACAAUCACUAAAUCCAGAGGAAGCGGAAUGCAUAGCCUUACUGGAAGAUGUUAAGUGGGCUAAAGCUGGAGGUUAUAAAAAAAUUUGCUCAAGGAAUGAUGCAAAGAAUGCCAUUACUUUUCUCAAUAAAAGUGGGAACCAGAUUAGUUGGUCCAACAAUUCUAUUUUAGAAGAUUGUCUUUUUAUUCUUAGAGAUUUAAGCUUUGUUAAAAUUGAGUACGUUAAUAGGAAUUUUAAUGGUUGGGCUGAUAAAACAGCUAAAAACAGUAGAAGAUACAAUGUAACAGGUGUUUGUUUGGACAAUUAUCCUCCAUUCUUCCUAAAUCAGUUGUAAUCUUUCCCUUCAUCAAUAUAUCUUCCUUUCCUAGCAAAAAAAAAAAAAAAAAAAAAAAA
Long non-coding RNA from Papaver somniferum (opium poppy), 708 nucleotides. RefSeq lists it as uncharacterized. Lineage: Eukaryota; Viridiplantae; Streptophyta; Magnoliopsida; Ranunculales; Papaveraceae. The transcript has 2 exons. The record is from RefSeq and is a predicted model, not a curated record.